UAACUUCGUGCCAGCAGCCGCGGUAAUACGAAGGGACCUAGCGUAAUUCGGAAUUACUGGGCGUAAAGCGCGCGUAGGCGGUUAAGUAAGUUAAUUGUGAAAGCCCAAAGCUCAACUUUGGAAUUGCAAUUAAAACUACUUAGCUAGAGUUUAUCAGAGGAAAGCGGAAUACAUAGUGUAGAGGUGAAAUUCGUAGAUAUUAUGUAGAACACCAGUUGCGAAGGCGGCUUUCUGGGAUAACACUGACGCUGAGGUGCGAAAGUAUGGGUAGCGAAGAGGAUUAGAUACCCUCGUAGUCCAUACUGUAAACGAUGAUUGUUAGAUGUUGGAAAUUUAUUUUCAGUAUCACAGCUAACGCGUUAAACAAUCCGCCUGGGGAGUACGACCGCAAGGUUAAAACUCAAAUGAAUUGACGGGGACCCGCACAAGCGGUGGAGCAUGUGGUUUAAUUCGAAGCUACGCGCAGAACCUUACCAACACUUGACAUGUCUGUCGCGGAUUCCAGAGAUGGAUUCCUUCGGUUCGGCCGGACAGAACACAGGUGCUGCAUGGCUGUCGUCAGCUCGUGUCGUGAGAUGUUGGGUUAAGUCCCGCAACGAGCGCAACCCCUACUUCUAGUUGCCAUCAGGUUAAGCUGGGCACUCUAGUAGGACUGCCUGUGAUAAGCAGGAGGAAGGUUGGGAUGACGUCAAGUCCUCAUGGCCCUUACGUGUUGGGCUACACACGUGCUACAAUGGCAGUGACAAUGAGAUGCUAAACGGCGACGUUAAGCUAAACUCAAAAACCUGCCUCAGUUCGGAUUGCACUCUGCAACUCGAGUGCAUGAAGCUGGAAUCGCUAGUAAUCGCUCAUCAGCGCGGAGCGGUGAAUACGUUCCCGGGUCUUGUACACACCGCCCGUCACACCAUGGAAGUUGGUUUUACCUUAAGGCAUGUCACUAACCUUCGGGAAGUGCGUGACCACGGUAUGAUCGGCGACUGGGGUGAAGUCGUAACAAGGUAGCCGUAGGGGAACCUGCGGCUG
This 1023-nucleotide ribosomal RNA is filed under the name marine metagenome. RNAcentral describes it as "bacterial SSU rRNA". It matches the Rfam family "Bacterial small subunit ribosomal RNA", at positions 498 to 1520 of the family's 1533-position model. The record is from RNAcentral.